GCUCCAAAGAAGGGGUGCUUCCUCGUGUAACCUGUAUGGAGAAAGCAGAGUGCUGUCAGGCGGAAGGACCAGGGAACGACAGGCAGCCUCCAGUUGUUUUGUUUUGGAAGGAAACAGAUGAAGACCCACCUUCUAGCUUGUCAAAGCCCAGGACAAUGUCUGCAAAUUGCUUGGCCCUGUCUCUGGUCUCCAGUGCGGCGAUUAUGCACCCGAGGGACAGGAUUUCCACUCUGACGCUGUCUGACUGCAGCACAAACUUCUCCACCUCCCCUCCUCCAUCCUCCUGGGGCAUGUGCCCGAAAAUCUCUCUCUUCACCUCCGUCAUCUCUCCCCAAGCCCCGUCCUUGCGUCGCUGCUGGGAAGGAAGUCCAGGAGGAAGCGAAGGCAGCCGAGAGUGGAGCAAAGGGGGUUAUGGAGAGCAGAGUCCUAAAAAUCACAUGAUAGCCUCCAGCGUGGCAGAGCUGGGAGGAGUCACAGCGUGCAGUUGCUGCCUGGCAGGCUUGGGUGCAUGCUGAGGGGAAAACGAGCUUUUGGAGGUGCAUGCCCCUGGCCUAAGCUCCAUUACACGCUGCUUCCAAUUGCCCUGGGGAAGCAACCUCAGCGUGCAGGAGAAACCCAAGCAUAUGAAAAUAAUCUGUGUAUACAUUUU
Coturnix japonica (Japanese quail) is the source of this 649-nucleotide non-coding RNA. NCBI's taxonomy places the organism in Eukaryota, Metazoa, Chordata, Aves, Galliformes, Phasianidae. The record is from RefSeq and is a predicted model, not a curated record.